This 250-nucleotide ribosomal RNA is filed under the name uncultured archaeon. RNAcentral describes it as "partial 16S ribosomal RNA". It matches the Rfam family "Archaeal small subunit ribosomal RNA", at positions 474 to 724 of the family's 1478-position model. The record is from RNAcentral.
UACCGGCAGCUCGAGUGGUAGCCGCGAUUAUUGGGCCUAAAGCGUUCGUAGCCGGAUAAGUAAGUCUUUGGUUAAAUCCUACGACUCAACCGUGGGAAAUCUAGAGAUACUGCUUGUCUUGAGACCGGGAGAGGUUGGAGGUACUCCUGGGGUAGGGGUGAAAUCCUAUAAUCCUAGGGGGACCACCUGUGGCGAAGGCGUCCAACUGGAACGGGUCUGACGGUGAGGGACGAAACCUAGGGGAGCGAGC